Molecule: ribosomal RNA, 301 nt
Filed under: uncultured bacterium
Lineage: Bacteria
Description: partial 16S ribosomal RNA
Rfam family: Bacterial small subunit ribosomal RNA
Source: RNAcentral
CAGUCGCCACGGGAAUACGUAGGUGGCAAGCGUUGUCCGGAAUUAUUGGGCGUAAAGGGCUCGCAGGCGGUUUCUUAAGUCUGAUGUGAAAGCCCCCGGCUCAACCGGGGAGGGUCAUUGGAAACUGGGAAACUUGAGUGCAGAAGAGGAGAGUGGAAUUCCACGUGUAGCGGUGAAAUGCGUAGAGAUGUGGAGGAACACCAGUGGCGAAGGCGACUCUCUGGUCUGUAACUGACGCUGAGGAGCGAAAGCGUGGGGAGCGAACAGGAUUAGAGACCCCAGUAGUCCCUGUCUCUUAUAC